CCUACGGGUGGCAGCAGUCGAGAAUCAUUCACAAUGGGGGAAACCCUGAUGGUGCGACGCCGCGUGGGGGAAUGAAGGUCUUCGGAUUGUAAACCCCUGUCAUGUGGGAGCAAAUUAAAAAGAUAGUACCACAAGAGGAAGAGACGGCUAACUCUGUGCCAGCAGCCGCGGGAAUACAGAGGUCUCAAGCGUUGUUCGGAAUCACUGGGCGUAAAGCGUGCGUAGGCUGUUUCGUAAGUAGUGUGUGAAAGGCGCGGGCUCAACCCGCGGACGGCACAUGAUACUGCGAGACUAGAGUAAUGGAGGGGGAACCGGAAUUCUCGGUGUAGCAGUGAAAUGCGUAGAUAUCGAGAGGAACACUCGUGGCGAAGGCGGGUUCCUGGACAUUAACUGACGCUGAGGCACGAAGGCCAGGGGAGCGAAAGGGAUUAGAUACCCCUGUAGUC
RNAcentral lists this ribosomal RNA (446 nucleotides) under uncultured bacterium. RNAcentral describes it as "partial 16S ribosomal RNA". It matches the Rfam family "Bacterial small subunit ribosomal RNA", at positions 338 to 795 of the family's 1533-position model. The record is from RNAcentral.